This 506-nucleotide ribosomal RNA is filed under the name uncultured bacterium. RNAcentral's name for it is "partial 16S ribosomal RNA". It matches the Rfam family "Bacterial small subunit ribosomal RNA", at positions 29 to 523 of the family's 1533-position model. The record is from RNAcentral.
AGUGAACGCUGGCGGUAGGCCUAACACAUGCAAGUCGAACGGCAGCACAGAGGAGCUUGCUCCUUGGGUGGCGAGUGGCGGACGGGUGAGGAAUACAUCGGAAUCUACUCUGUCGUGGGGGAUAACGUAGGGAAACUUACGCUAAUACCGCAUACGACCUACGGGUGAAAGCAGGGGAUCUUCGGACCUUGCGCGAUUGAAUGAGCCGAUGUCGGAUUAGCUAGUUGGCCGGGUAAAGGCCCACCAAGGCGACGAUCCGUAGCUGGUCUGAGAGGAUGAUCAGCCACACUGGAACGGAGACACGGUCCAGACUCCUACGGGAGGCAGCAGUGGGGAAUAUUGGACAAUGGGCGCAAGCCUGAUCCAGCCAUACCGCGUGGGUGAAGAAGGCCUUCGGGUUGUAAAGCCCUUUUGUUGGGAAAGAAAUCCAUCUGGUUAAUACCCGGGUGGGAUGACGGUACCCAAAGAAUAAGCACCGGCUAACUUCGUGCCAGCCGCCGCGGUAA